CUCCUACGGGAGGCAGCAGUGGGAAUCUUGCGCAAUGGACGAAAGUCUGACGCAGCGACGCCGCGUGGGUGAUGAAGGCCUUCGGGUUGUAAAGCCCUGUGGGAGGGACGAAUAAGUCGGAGCCAAUACCUCCGGCGAUGACGGUACCUCCUUAGCAAGCACCGGCUAACUCUGUGCCAGCAGCCGCGGUAAUAC
Molecule: ribosomal RNA, 195 nt
Filed under: uncultured bacterium
Lineage: Bacteria
Description: partial 16S ribosomal RNA
Rfam family: Bacterial small subunit ribosomal RNA
Source: RNAcentral